Molecule: RNA transcript, 2817 nt
Organism: Vigna radiata var. radiata (mung bean)
Lineage: Eukaryota; Viridiplantae; Streptophyta; Magnoliopsida; Fabales; Fabaceae
Gene name: protein CHROMOSOME TRANSMISSION FIDELITY 7
Exons: 7
Source: RefSeq, a predicted model, not a curated record
AACGAGAGGAAAUUUAAAAACAAAACGAAAAGUUUUGGCGGCAAAUGAAAAAAAAAAUCCACAAGACUGCCACAGAAGGAAGAAAGAAUCACAAAUGCAGUCCAAGAUCACCGCUUUCUUCAGAUUCACCCCAGCUUCCUCUUCUUCCAACAAUGAAAAUGAUUUGUCAGUUUGGGGGAAUCGGCAACACCACAUCAUCAACACCUAUACCCGAAGGCGCCCAAACCCUAACGCCGGUACUUCGGUUCCCAAACCCGUAACACUCGUCAAAAACAAGAAGAGAAGCUACGCUCAGUUUCACCUUGAUUUUGGCCAAUCCGAUUUCCUCUUACGCGUGUGUUCUACGUGCGGCGUGAAGUUCACUCCCGGCGAUCCACAAGACGAGAAAUCCCACAACGAAUUUCACAAAUCAUACACGCAGGGAAUCCAGUUCAGAGGUUGGACCAAAGAAAAUGUUAUUUCUCUACCCAGUUUGGAUCCGGGUCGGGUCAUUUUGUUCUCGGAGACGGACCCGUUUUCUCACAGGAAGAAAAUUGAAGAGGUGGUGAGGAUGAUGGAAAUUGAGAUUGGAAGUGGGUGGAUACUUCACGAGCGCUGUAAGGUGUAUCUGUUUGUUUCUCUUAAUAGGGUUGCUGGGUGUCUCGUUGCAGAACCAAUUGAAAAGGCAUUCAAAGUUGUGUCUAGCUCUGGUGCUGUACCUGUUCAUAGCGCGAAGAAAAGGGGAGACACGACGCGUUCUACAAUUCUUCAGUUUGGGAAUGCUAUUUUUCAAAGGGAGGUCCAAAGAAAAGUUGUUAAUGUGAGUGAUUCCGAAAAGAUGGAAGGGGCAAUCUUAUGUGACAGCGAACCAACUGCUGCUGCUUGUGGCGUUAGGGCCAUUUGGAUUACUCCCUCCAACAGAAGAAAAGGCAUUGCAACCCAGUUGUUAGAGGCAGCGAGGAAGAGUUUCUGCCCCGGUCUCGAGCUUGGACGUUCUCAGUUAGCAUUCUCCCAGCCCACCUCUGCUGGAAAGGCAUUAGCAACUAGUUAUACUGGCACUGGGUCAUUCUUGGCCUAUUAAAGCCAACAAAACAGUUUAUUAGUGAUUCACUAUCUUGACUGUUAAUAGGCUUUGUCAUUUUGAGUUGAUUUUACCAUUUAGUUGUUGAGAGCCCUCGGCUGCAAGAAGUCUCUAAUAUUGGAACCGAAUUGUUGGCUGGAGUUUAUCAGGGCCAGCAAAAUGCUUUUAGGAAGCCCCAACAGGCCUGGACGAACCAGAAUCAAGGACAACAGCAGCAGUAUAGUUCUGGGGGGAGCGAUAUACCUAAUAUGAGAUAUGUGCCGCCACCACAUCUGCAAACACAGUUGUUUGUCCAGCAGUCCCAUAAACAAAUGCAACAGAUCAAUCAACAGGCUCAACAGUUCAAGCAGAAGGUAGGAUCCAAUCCUGGACAGUUCCAGCAGUUUGGACAAUCAGGUUUUGCACCACAACAGCAAGCCAAAGUUGAUCCAACAAUAGAAGCCACGUUUCAAGAUUUAAAAACUCAAAUUGGACAACUUGCUACUGCUGUGAAUGAACUGGUUCAACAGAAGUCAAGUGCAAUUCCUUCUCAAACAGUGGUCAACCCAAAAGCAAGUCAACAGUAGUGAUACAUCAGUGUGGAUGUUUCAGUAUCAUUCUUCUUUGUUCUACUAAGUGUUUGUACCAGUUCACACAGAGUUUCACUUUCUUUUUGCUGCAGCUGUUGUAGUUUCUAUCUUUUAUCAAUAUGUUAUUUAUAAUUGUACAUUAAUUUAAAUUUAAAUGUUACUUGGCUGUAUACUUUCUUUGUUUCAGGACAUCGUAGCAAAAUUAUUUUCAUUUUCAAAGCAGAGGCCAAGGGCUUUGUGCAGCUUAACUGAAACUGAGACUGUUUCUUCUGUUCUCUGCGCCAGCCAGCUUCUACUAGCAUCAGUGUUUCUUAUGAGGUGAAUGUCUCAUCAGAAGCUUCAUCAACAUCCAUGCCUCAUUUGUCAAUAGAGCCCCCUCCAAACCAAAGCAAUAAUAAUGACAGUAGUUUGCCUGUGAGACCAACUGAUAAGUUGAAUCAAGGAUCCGAUUCUCUCCUCUGCCUCAAGACAUUCAGGAACACGUCUUGAGAUCAAUGAUCGUCACAUAAUGAUUGAGUCUUGCGAAGAAGAAACUUUCGAUUGGGGUGCUCUGGUGAAUUUGCUACGCUUGACUCUGAUUGCAAUGUUGUUCGGGGGACUUACCCUUCAGCAAAGGCAAAGGCAAUCAUACCGACCAACGUUUGAUCCCAUCCCACCCAAGUUCUUCCUCGACUCGUUUCACGUUCCUCACCUCGAAGUUUCCGAGGGCGAGGUGUCAUCCACAUGGGAGGCGACCGUAACCAUUUGCAACGUCAUGAACUACUCCAACAUCAACAUCAACAUCAACAUCCUGAACCUGGAAGCGAAAAUAAAUUACCGGGAAAACGAAACGCUGGCUGUGAUUUCUCCCAUUAUGCCCCAAUACAUGUUACCGGAUGCAGUUUUAUUGUUGGAAAAUGAGGAGACAAAAAAGUUGCAUUUGAAGUUGAGUACGACUGGGUGGGAAGAGAACCAACCCAUUGUGGAUGACACAGUGGUUCAGGCCAUUGCUGAAGAUAUUGAACGAGGAAGCACGAGGUUUAGUUUACAUAUGAUUAUCAUAGGAGAGGUUUGGUUGGGCGAUGGGUGGGUCCAAACUUUUAUGAUGUAUCCUAAAUGCACUAAUUUGGUGGUAAAGGUUCUCACUAACACCACAACAAUCGUUGUCCACAAGCCUAAAGAAUGUGUAGGAGUCGUUCAAUGGGGUUC